AAGUCGUAACAAGGUUUCCGUAGGUGAACCUGCGGAAGGAUCAUUAUUGAAAUAAAUCUGAUAGGUUGCUGCUGGUUUCUUUCGGGAGCAUGUGCACACUUGUCAUCUUUAUAUCUCCACCUGUGCACCUUUUGUAAAUCUGAAUAUCUUUCUGAAUGCUCGCCAUUCAGGUUUGAGGAUUGAAUCUUUUUUCUUUCCUUAUAUUUUCAGGUUUAUGUUUUUCAUAUACCCCAUGUAUGUUAUAGAAUGUUAUAAACGGGCUUUUGUGCCUAUAAAUUUAUACAACUUUCAGCAACGGAUCUCUUGGCUCUC
Molecule: unclassified non-coding RNA, 312 nt
Filed under: air metagenome
Description: partial contains small subunit ribosomal RNA, internal transcribed spacer 1, and 5.8S ribosomal RNA
Rfam family: Eukaryotic small subunit ribosomal RNA (bases 1-46)
Source: RNAcentral